GCGGCGGACGGGUGAGUAAUGCCUAGGAAUCUGCCUAGUAGUGGGGGAUAACUUGCCGAAAGGUAAGCUAAUACCGCAUACGUCCUACGGGAGAAAGCAGGGGACUCUUCGGAGCCUUGCGCUAUUAGAUGAGCCUAGGUCGGAUUAGUUAGUUGGUGAGGUAAUGGCUCACCAAGACUGCGAUCCGUAACUGGUCUGAGAGGAUGAUCAGUCACACUGGAACUGAGACACGGUCCAGACUCCUACGGGAGGCAGCAGUGGGAAAUAUUGGACAAUGGGGGCAACCCUGAUCCAGCCAUGCCGCGUGUGUGAAGAAGGUCUUAGGAUUGUAAAGCACUUUAAGUUGGGAGGAAGGGCAGUUAACUAAUACUUGACUGUUUUGACGUUACCGACAGAAUAAGCACCGGCUAACUUCGUGCCAGCAGCCGCGGUAAUACGAAGGGUGCAAGCGUUAAUCGGAAUUACUGGGCGUGAAGCGCGCGUAGGUGGUUCGUUAAGUUAGGAGUGAAAGCCCCGG
RNAcentral lists this ribosomal RNA (517 nucleotides) under uncultured bacterium. RNAcentral's name for it is "bacterial SSU rRNA". It matches the Rfam family "Bacterial small subunit ribosomal RNA", at positions 95 to 606 of the family's 1533-position model. The record is from RNAcentral.